RNAcentral lists this long non-coding RNA (254 nucleotides) under Lotus japonicus. RNAcentral's name for it is "long non-coding RNA (LJAP_LNC000376)". Lineage: Eukaryota; Viridiplantae; Streptophyta; Magnoliopsida; Fabales; Fabaceae. The record is from RNAcentral.
GAAGUUACAAAAAUUAGAUCAAUCAGUUAAAGACAUAAGUGAUUAAAUAUCUUCAACCAAAAAAUAUACUUGGAAAACCUUCUUGCCCCAUUACCAAGUUUUUUUAAAGAGAAAAAUUCAAAUGUCUCUAAUCUAACCAAUUCACCAAUGGACUUAAACUAAGAAAUCAUAAAUUUUGGGUAACUGAACAUAUUCCAAAUCACCAAGCUUGGCAAACUUACCAUCUCGGUAAUUCCUUGAAUCAAAGAAGAAAG